GGUACUUUGAAUACAAAUGCAAAGGAGAGAGGAAAGAAGUAUAGAUAGGUAGGGCAUGACGUCUUUUUCUCCCCCAUUUUCCCCUUCACCCUUCCCCAGAAGCAGACUUCUUCUUCCUCAGAAGAUGGACCUGAAGAAACACAAGUAAGGGUUUGGACAUUCUAUCAUUCUGUGGCUGAACUCAGAACUCAGAAGUACAAAAGGAGAAGAUCACAAGAAAUGGAAAUGAAUAUUGGUCCCUGAGGAGAGGCACCAAGAAGUACUAGGAGUGUGUAAACACAGAAUUGUUAAUACUAGGGAGAAGAAAAAUACAAUUCGAGAGAGUCUG
Monodelphis domestica (gray short-tailed opossum) is the source of this 328-nucleotide long non-coding RNA. RefSeq lists it as uncharacterized. The record is from RefSeq and is a predicted model, not a curated record. Lineage: Eukaryota; Metazoa; Chordata; Mammalia; Didelphimorphia; Didelphidae.